Molecule: ribosomal RNA, 433 nt
Filed under: uncultured bacterium
Lineage: Bacteria
Description: partial 16S ribosomal RNA
Rfam family: Bacterial small subunit ribosomal RNA
Source: RNAcentral
AACGAACGCUGGCGGCAUGCCUAACACAUGCAAGUCGAACGAGACCUUCGGGUCUAUUGGCGCACGGGUGCGUAACGCGUGGGAACCUGCCCUUAGGUUCGGAAUAACUCCCCGAAAGGGGUGCUAAUACCGGAUAAUGUCUUCGGACCAAAGAUUUCUUGCCAUUGGAUGGGCGCGCGUUGGAUUAGCUGGUUGGUAGGGUAAAAGCCUGCCAAGGCGACGUUCCAUAGCUGGUCUGGGAGGAUGAUCAGCCACACUGGGACUGCGACACGGCCCAGACUCCUACGGAAGGGAGCAGAGGGGAAUAUUGGACGAUGAGCGAAGGCCUGAUCCAGCAAUGCCGGGUGAGUGAUGAAGGCCUUAGGGUUGUAAAGCUCUUUUACCCGAGAUGAUAGUGACAGUACCGGGAGAAUAAGCACCGGCUAACUCCGUG